GCCUGGGUGGCUCAGUCGGUUAAGCAUCCGACUUCGGCUCAGAUCAUGAUCUCAAUGCGUCGUGGGUUCAAGCCCCUCAUCGGGCU
Molecule: transfer RNA, 86 nt
Filed under: Felis catus (domestic cat)
Lineage: Eukaryota; Metazoa; Chordata; Mammalia; Carnivora; Felidae
Rfam family: tRNA
About the family: Transfer RNA (tRNA) molecules are approximately 80 nucleotides in length. Their secondary structure includes four short double-helical elements and three loops (D, anti-codon, and T loops).
Source: Rfam by way of RNAcentral